UGGGGAAUAUUGCACAAUGGGCGAAAGCCUGAUGCAGCAACGCCGCGUGAGUGAUGAAGGCCUUCGGGUUGUAAAGCUCUGUCUUCUGGGACGAUAAUGACGGUACCAGAGGAGGAAGCCACGGCUAACUACGUGCCAGCAGCCGCGGUAAUACGUAGGUGGCAAGCGUUGUCCGGAUUUACUGGGCGUAAAGGAUGCGUAGGCGGAUACUUAAGUCAGAUGUGAAAAUCCCGGGCUUAACUUGGGAACUGCAUUUGAAACUGGGUAUCUAGAGUGCGGGAGAGGAAAGUGGAAUUCCUAGUGUAGCGGUGAAAUGCGUAGAGAUUAGGAAGAACACCAGUGGCGAAGGCGACUUUCUGGACCGUAACUGACGCUGAGACAUGAAAGCGUGGGGAGCAAACA
This 402-nucleotide ribosomal RNA is filed under the name uncultured bacterium. Its description in RNAcentral is "bacterial SSU rRNA". It matches the Rfam family "Bacterial small subunit ribosomal RNA", at positions 355 to 774 of the family's 1533-position model. The record is from RNAcentral.